This 642-nucleotide ribosomal RNA is filed under the name uncultured bacterium. RNAcentral's name for it is "bacterial SSU rRNA". The stretch from base 1 to 542 matches the Rfam family "Bacterial small subunit ribosomal RNA", at positions 338 to 873 of the family's 1533-position model. The record is from RNAcentral.
CCUACGGGAGGCAGCAGUGGGGAAUAUUGGACAAUGGGCGAAAGCCUGAUCCAGCAAUUCCGCGUGUGUGAAGAAGGCCUUCGGGUUGUAAAGCACUUUAGUGGGGAAGAAACAGCUUGGCCACACCAAGCCUUGACGGUACCCCCGAAGAAUAAGCACCGGCUAACUCUGUGCCAGCAGCCGCGGUAAUACAGAGGGUGCAAGCGUUAAUCGGAUUUACUGGGCGUAAAGGGUGCGUAGGUGGCUAUUUAAGUCGGAUGUGAAAAGCCCCGGGGCUCAACCUCGGAAUUGCAUUCGAUACUGAGUGGCUAGAGUUCGGUAGAGGGCGGCGGAAUUUCCGGUGUAGCGGUGAAAAUGCGUAGAUAUCGGAAGGAACAUCAAUGGCGAAGGCAGCCGCCUGGGCCUGGACUGACACUGAGGCACGAAAGCGUGGGUAGCAAACAGGAUUAGAUACCCCUGGUAGUCCACGCCGUAAACGAUGAGAACUUGACGUGGUCGUUUUACGAAUCGGUGUCGCNGCUACGACGAUAAGUUACUCCGUCCGUCGGGUAGGUACGGCCGGCCGAAGGUUAGGUAAACGUACGAAAGGAAAGUUAGUACGGCGUGAGACGUAGCCGAACGGACGACGACGAGGGAGGUAGG